Long non-coding RNA from Salvia miltiorrhiza (redroot sage), 506 nucleotides. RefSeq lists it as uncharacterized. Lineage: Eukaryota; Viridiplantae; Streptophyta; Magnoliopsida; Lamiales; Lamiaceae. The transcript is spliced from 3 exons. The record is from RefSeq and is a predicted model, not a curated record.
UUUGUGGAGAGCAACUGAUAGCAAACUUGUUGAAGAUUCUCAUAUGGAGUCAUGUCUACCUUUGACGGGUAAAUUAUUCAACCAAUUAGAUAAAUUUUCGUUUCUAAUAUUCUUCGUUGUUAACAAUAUUAACUCAAUCAUUUAGGCACACUAUACCGGGAGAAACAUGACCUUGUGGCAUAAACAUCGAAGAAGACUAAAAUAACUCAAGCUAAGGACAAACAUGUAGCUAAGGCAAAGAAGGCGAAGAAAAUGAAGUCUAAUAACUUAAAAGACAAGAUACAAAGCUAGCAUAUCUGAUUCAUCCCACCAACUUACUGAAGUGGUUGUCGAGCAUAAUAAAGGCAAAGGAGUCCCACAAACACCAACACUCAAGUCAAGGAGUGGCAGAACAAUCAAGCGAAGAAUAUUGGACUAAUGAAGUGAGAUUUUAUGAGACUUUGAAGCAACUUCUGUAUGUACUUUGACUUUUGCCUCUAUUACACCGUGUCGGUCACAUUCUACUA